RNAcentral lists this microRNA precursor (174 nucleotides) under Medicago truncatula (barrel medic). RNAcentral describes it as "MIR2619 microRNA precursor family". It matches the Rfam family "MIR2619 microRNA precursor family". Lineage: Eukaryota; Viridiplantae; Streptophyta; Magnoliopsida; Fabales; Fabaceae. The record is from Rfam by way of RNAcentral.
AAACCGUCCCUUAAGUUUUGUAACUGUAGCAAUUUUGGCCCCCAAAACCAAUUUUUGGUAAAAAAAAAAAAAAACACGUGGCACCUCAUUUUGGGUGCCACGUCAACGUAGAUCUAUUCAAAAUUGAUCUUGGGGGCCAAAACUGCCACAUAUGCAAAACUUAGGGGGUGGUUU